RNAcentral lists this ribosomal RNA (253 nucleotides) under uncultured bacterium. RNAcentral describes it as "partial 16S ribosomal RNA". It matches the Rfam family "Bacterial small subunit ribosomal RNA", at positions 524 to 776 of the family's 1533-position model. The record is from RNAcentral.
UACGUAGGGGGCUAGCGUUGUCCGGAAUUAUUGGGCGUAAAGAGCGUGUAGGCGGCCGGGUAAGUCCGGUGUGAAAACUCGAGGCUUAACCUCGAGAUGUCAUCGGAAACUAUUCGGCUAGAGUCCGGAAGAGGAGAGUGGAAUUCCUGGUGUAGCAGUGAAAUGCGCAGAUAUCAGGAAGAACACCUAUGGCGAAAGCAGCUCUCUGGGACGGUACUGACGCUGAGACGCGAAAGCGUGGGGAGCGAACAGG